Molecule: long non-coding RNA, 226 nt
Filed under: Lathyrus oleraceus (garden pea)
Lineage: Eukaryota; Viridiplantae; Streptophyta; Magnoliopsida; Fabales; Fabaceae
Description: Pisum sativum (pea) long non-coding RNA (PSAT_LNC011472)
Source: RNAcentral
UUUUGACACCACAAUAUUAGGAAAUAUUAGUUCAUCAACCCAUUCUAUUAGGGAGUAUUGUUUUGACACUACAAUAUACUCAUUCCAUUUUUUAUAAUAAAUCGUUUUGAUACUUUUAUAUGUAUUAACAAAUGAAACCAUUCUAAUAUGACUAACUGAAUUUUGGAAGGAAUUCAUAAAAUUGUUUUUCAUUCAUAAUAUUCAAAAAAAUAAAUUUAAAAAAUUG